This 465-nucleotide ribosomal RNA is filed under the name uncultured bacterium. Its description in RNAcentral is "partial 16S ribosomal RNA". It matches the Rfam family "Bacterial small subunit ribosomal RNA", at positions 338 to 795 of the family's 1533-position model. The record is from RNAcentral.
CCUACGGGAGACUGCAGUAGGGAAUCUUCCACAAUGGGCGAAAGCCUGAUGGAGCAACGCCGCGUGGGUGAAGAAGGUCUUCGGAUCGUAAAACCCUGUUGUUAGAGAAGAAAGUGCGUGAGAGUAACUGUUCACGUUUCGACGGUAUCUAACCAGAAAGCCACGGCUAACUACGUGCCAGCAGCCGCGGUAAUACGUAGGUGGCAAGCGUUAUCCGGAUUUAUUGGGCGUAAAGGGAACGCAGGCGGUCUUUUAAGUCUGAUGUGAAAGCCUUCGGCUUAACCGGAGUAGUGCAUUGGAAACUGGGAGACGUGAGUGCAGAAGAGGAGAGUGGAACGCCAUGUGUAGCGGUGAAAUGCGUAGAUAUAUGGAAGAACACCAGUGGCGAAAGCGGCUCUCUGGUCUGUAACUGACGCUGAGGUUCGAAAGCGUGGGUAGCAAACAGGAUUAGAUACCCGUGUAGUC